Molecule: ribosomal RNA, 812 nt
Filed under: uncultured bacterium
Lineage: Bacteria
Description: bacterial SSU rRNA
Rfam family: Bacterial small subunit ribosomal RNA
Source: RNAcentral
UGAGAGUUUGAUCCUGGCUCAGGAUGAACGCUGGCGGUCUGCUUAACACAUGCAAGUCGAACGCAACCUUCGGGUUGAGUGGCGGACGGGUGAGUAACGCGUGAGAAUCUGCCUUGGGGUCGGGGACAACCACUGGAAACGGUGGCUAAUACCGGAUACGCCUUCGGGUAAAAGAUUUAUUGCCCUAAGAGGAGCUCGCGUCUGAUUAGCUAGUUGGUGAGGUAAGAGCUCACCAAGGCAGCGAUCAGUAGCUGGUCUGAGAGGACGAUCAGCCACACUGGGACUGAGACACGGCCCAGACUCCUACGGGAGGCAGCAGUGGGGAAUAUUGGACAAUGGGCGGAAGCCUGAUCCAGCCAUGCCGCGUGUGUGAAGAAGGCCUUUUGGUUGUAAAGCACUUUAAGCGAGGAGGAGGCUACCUAGAUUAAUACUCUGGGAUAGUGGACGUUACUCGCAGAAUAAGCACCGGCUAACUCUGUGCCAGCAGCCGCGGUAAUACAGAGGGUGCGAGCGUUAAUCGGAUUUACUGGGCGUAAAGCGUGCGUAGGCGGCUGAUUAAGUCGGAUGUGAAAUCCCUGAGCUUAACUUAGGAAUUGCAUUCGAUACUGGUCAGCUAGAGUAUGGGAGAGGAUGGUAGAAUUCCAGGUGUAGCGGUGAAAUGCGUAGAGAUCUGGAGGAAUACCGAUGGCGAAGGCAGCCAUCUGGCCUAAUACUGACGCUGAGGUACGAAAGCAUGGGGAGCAAACAGGAUUAGAUACCCUGGUAGUCCAUGCCGUAAACGAUGUCUACUAGCCGUUGGGGUCUUUGAGGCU